This 88-nucleotide ribosomal RNA is filed under the name [Anoxybacillus] calidus. Lineage: Bacteria; Bacillati; Bacillota; Bacilli; Caryophanales; Anoxybacillaceae. The record is from RNAcentral.
CGUUCCCAUCCCGAACACGGAAGUUAAGCUCUCCAGCGCCGAUGGUAGUUGGGGCCAGCGCCCCUGCGAGAGUAGGACGUUGCCAGGC